CAUGUAUAAUUAGUUAACUUUACAGAAGAUGGAACCAAAAAUAUACAAACAUGCAGAAAAUAGAGAAACAACAUUUUGAGCAUAAGACCCAUUACUUUACAGCUUACACCAAGUAUCCUUCAAUGUAUACCUGAAAAUAUUUAAAAUAUAAAAAUUAGAAAAAUAUGUGAGUCAAAAUAAAACUGUAAAUCCGAAACAUAAGAACCCUUACGUUACUUUAUGAACAACGCAACGCUUUGAAAGACCUCCUCACCUUAUAUUAUAGAUUCCAGUACUCAGACCUAAUAAAAGUUUUGAGAAAAGAUAUCACUACCUGAUUCUCAACCUUCAUAUGCUUUGAGAAAAGCUUGGCAGCAUGACAUUCUUUAGUCAAAGGUCGCAAACCCCUGCAGUAGCAAAAGAAACAUGAUACACAAACUACUCAAUUUGACUAUUGUCAUAAGUUUCUCUAUCCCAUUUUCUCUGCCUGAAGUAAUUACUUUAGAAUUAUGAAUAAACUGAUAUUAAUGAGAAUGUUCGACUGUGCUAUUCUCCAUUAAGACUCGGUUCAAAUCUUUAGCCUUUGUUUGAAUUUCUGGAUCCUAAGACAAAGUCUCACACACUCAUUUUAAUUGGUUUACAUAAUUAAAGAAAUUAUUUUUCCUAUUGAUCAUAGAAAAGAAUGCAUGAUGGAGAUGGAGAUGGAGAUAUAAAUGACAUCAAAACGACCAAUUUCUUCUAGGAGUCGGUGUAUACCUAAUGCUAAGCUUGAAAAAAAAAAUUCCAUGAAAAAGAAAUCUACAAUACUAAUCUGCAAAAAUAAAUGUAUACCAAAAAACAAUCUAUAAUUAUGAAAGUGAUCCAAAUUUUCACUUAACUCAAUAUGAAAGCAAAUAGCUUAAUUUUUUUUAAAGUAAAUCAUGAUUCAUUGGCUAACUAAUAAUUCAUAUAAGGUUAUAAUUUCUCCUUUACUUCCAGAACUCGCAAUUUCUUGUUUUCUCUUUUAUAUUAUAAGACAAUGAGUGCACAAAAAAACCACCCUCACCAAAAAAAGACACAAAUAAGCACUUCAAAAAGAGUAUAAAUAAGUUAUGUUCCGGGAAUAUUUAUUUCAACAGUAAAUCAAGAUGGCUCAAGUUAGGAUAGGUUGUUUCAAUAUGUUCAAGGACUAAAUGCUACUCUUGGGCUCAAUGUGACCUUAAAAUUUAAGGUUAAUAUCAAUAGUACUCGUGGGACAGUAAAUUUGAGACUUGAUUCGGGCUCAAGUGGUUACUAUAAAUAUGUUCAAAAUAUUAUUUAAUAACGCCACCGCCUUCUCAUCUCCGGUAGCUAUAACUACGACAGCUCGUAAUAUUGGACUUGCGGACUGUUUUCCAUUCCCAAGCGUCUAAGAGCAAAUCUAAUCAGGUACUUUUCAGUUUUUAAUCUCUCUCAAAAUGACAAUAUUAGGUGCUGUCAAUUAGUUUUGAAAUUAGGGUAUUGAAAAUUUGAAUUAGAAACAUCCCAGUUCGAGGGUUUUGAUUUUGAUAUGAAUUUUGAUAUUGGGUAGGAAAAAUGUUAAUAAAAAAUCCUAAUUUCAAGAUUACUAAAAGAGUAGACUAAAGGUACGUCAUACAUUAAAACUAACAAAUGAAGAGCAUUUCAAAUCAAGAAAGAAGUUUGCUGAUUGUUUGGAACGUAACAAAAGUCAUGAACCGAUUACCUGACCUAAGUUGUAAAACAUUAAAAAAGGUAGUAAUAUUUACACUGAGUCCAACAACACCUCCGGAUAUACGAUAUUUGUCGUGGUAGAUGAUCCAUUAGGAGGGAGAAGGACACUGAUACGAUCAGCCGACGUGCACCUAGACAUGGCCACAUACAGGUGACCGUGGCUGAAUACAGGCAAGCGCAGAUCUACACCAACAAACUUGACUGACUGGCCUUGCGACUUAUUGAUUGUCAUAGCAUAUGUUAAGCGUACUGGGAAUUGGCGUCUAGUCAUUUGAAAUGGUAAAUCUUUGGAUGACGGUGAUAAUGAUAUCCGCGGGAUGAAACACAGAUUAGAAGAUUUGUCACCAGUUAGAAUUCUAGCCUCAAUAACCCGUGAUGCGCACUUGACAACCAUUAGUCUGGUCCCAUUAUAGAGUCCAUCUUUCGGGGCUAUAUUCCUCAACAAUAUGAUGGGGCACCCGACCUUUAGCUCCAACUUGAAAGGCGGUAAACCUGGCGGGUUUAGAGAAUUUAGAAACUCACUUGGAUAUUGAUUAGUGGUAGAACGACAGAGUUCGUCCCCAUCUGACACCUUGUCAGCUACCAAGUAGGUAUACGUCUCGCGAGGAUGAGUUUGUAGAGCAGCAUCAUUGAUGGUGCAGACAUCAUCAUUCCGAGCAGAAAGAAUUGUGCGCUCAGUUAAGUAGGAUGGGGUUACCACACUGAGCACAUCUAGUUGUGGAUAAACUCUGGAAAUUAGUUCAUGCAGAGUUCGACACCCGUGUAUCGUUGGAGGAAGUUCCACAGUAUCUUGCGUACUGAUCCCAAUCUAAGUAUGAUGUGAAAUAUAUCAGUACAUAUAAAUGAAUAAUUAAAUGAAUAAUCUGUAAUAUAAAUCACCUCUUCCAAGAAGGAUGCGUGAGAAGAAUUUGUAGGAUGAUUGCUAUUCAGACGCAUGUUUAUGCUCAAAGUCAAUACGCACACACUCGUCCACAUUGCAGAAUGUCUUAAAGAUGCACCAACAAUUUGUUCUCGACGACCCUUAGGUAUCACCGGUAGUAUUUGUCGGAAAUCCCCGCCAAGCACAAUCGUGAUACCACUGAAUGGUCGGUUAUCAUCACGGACGUCACGAAGUGUGCGAUCAACUGCCUCAACACCAUGUCGAUGCUGCAUGGGAACUUCGUCCCAUAUUAUCAAGCGAGCCUCCCUAAAUAAUUCCCCAUGCGGUGACUGUUUGCUGAAACCACAUACCGAGCUUUCUAUGAUAUCGAAUGGAAUGCAAAAUGUAGAAUGAGCUGUCCGACCGCCUAAUAACAACAACGAUGCAAUUCCUGAUGAAGCAACUGUAAUGACGAUAUGACCCUCGCUGCGCAUUUUAGUGGUGAUGGUGUUGUACAAAAAGGUUUUCCCAGUUCCUGCACCUCCACUGAGGAAAAACAUUUUGCCCUGAUUUUCAGCAACGGAGAUAGUGAUAGCAUCAUAAGCCGUACGUUGAGCAUUAUUUAAAACAUCAAUAUUCAAAAGGUCAUUCAGUUGAUUAGCUUCAUUUCGUAGUUGCAUAUGAUCGAUCAACAAUCUAUUACCUGAAACAGAACUCCAAUUUUGAACAGGGUGUGGCAUAGGUGGGAAGUCAUCCAAUUUUUUGCCAGAUUCAUGUAGCAACUGAUCAAUCAAAUAUAAACCGUAAUCUUCGAUUUGAGACUGUGUUGGAUCGUAUAUGCCAAAAGUUGUUUGUAGCUUGUGACGAAGAUCAUCACAUAUAUGGACGGAGAAUUGAUUCCACAGAGUGCAUGGUUGUAUUGGGGAGCAUUCUACCAGAAUGAUGCAGAAUAGUCUCCGUAACUGGUAUCCCGUAUUCAUGGUUGAAGCCUCCUGGAGGCAUUGUACCCACUCUGCAUCAUCUUCCAGGAGCCCCAUAGCUACACACGCUGAUUUAAAACUAUCAUGAAACACACCAUUGAUCGUGCGUAGACCAUCAAAAGAAUGCGGUCCUCUGACAACUGUUAAUAGCAAUCGAAGGUAAAAUCGCUCCCCAGAAUUGGGCGUAGCAAAGUAUAAUCUGCCAAUUGCAAACCCACUCUGUCUCGGAGUCCAAAUCUUCCGACCUUUGUUCCAAACGAAAUGUUGGGGAAAUUCUUGGUAUGUGUAGGCACGUGCAACAUCAUUUGAAGAACAACAGUCAAAGAAUCCAGUCAGAGUUGUGAUUUGACUCCUAGACCCAAGUCUUAUUGUUUCAAGUGUUUUAGUAGGAUCGUAAACAACUUGAUGCAUCCCAGGUAAAUGUAGAUCUAGCCGUACAACCGAAGGAAUUUCUUCAUGAAGAGGAUAACCGAAGAGUCGCCAUGCAGCCUCUGUCGGUCCAAUAUACCUUGCAUCAAGGUAUUGCUUUAUCUCAUUGUUUCCAUCUGGUCCCUCUAAAACCAUAGUUGUGCGGUCAUGACCUUUGUAAAUGUACUUGUGGAUAUAUUUGACGCACCUCAUUCCUGCACAGACCUCCACAUUUAUAUGACAGUUGAACUUUCUUGAUAGGUGUGGAUUGUAAGGUACGAUGUCUCGAUUAUCAAACGUAUGCCCUCUGGUGGUGUAAGACUGGCCAUUACGGCGACGACGGUAAACAGGGUACCCAUGUUCAUCCAUAGUAGUCGAAUCUGCAAAGGCUUUUGGAUAAUGGAACCGGCAUGCACCGUUAACCAUGCAAGUUGAAUAAGGGUUUCGAGAACCAUAGGGACCAUGAACCAUACAACUCUUGAUUGUUUCGUACAGAGUUGGAUCAAUGGAUGGAUCUGGGAAUUCAGCACUAACUAACCGAUCCACUUGUGCAGUUGUCUGAAUCUUGUCAGGGCCAUGAAGAAAGAAUAAAGCAUGCAUAUGUGGUAACCCUCGUUUUUGGAACUCAAUGGUGAAUACAUGAGCAACUUUUCGACCAAAAAUCUGUUCAUUUUUUACCUCAUGCAUUAGGGCACGCUGUUUUAACUCAAAUACAUGGGCAACUAUGUCUGGACGAUCCAAAGAGGUUUGGUGUUCUAGUAAGGCAGCUGUUAUUUCGGGCCAUUUUGGGUUGGCCGUCAUAGUGAGAAAGAUGUCAGGGUGUUGGUGGUACCUUGUAAUGGCCAUAGAGUCAUGACAAAUUUGGCUCAUGUUACGUGCACUCCUAGUAAAGGACGAUGGCAGAACAAAGCGUUGUCCGAUCUGAUCGGGGCCCAACUCAUCAACACUACCGUCACAUAAAUUUGCAUAAAUCUCACGACGCAACUUAUCCUGAUUGAGUCUGAUGUAAGACAACCUGUUUUUCUCCUGAUGCCCAAGCAUCUACUAUAAACUCUUGAAAUAACUUUCCUCCUAUAAGAAUCGUCGAAUACUCGGUGGGACGUGGAAACAUACGAUAGCUGUAAAAUUGCAUCUGUGUCAUCCUUCUUACUGCAAAAUCAUUUUGUUCGGAGUUCCACUGUCGUAGACCAGGUUCCCAACCAAGCUCACCAGUAGGGAAUAAAAGUACAUAGUGUAAUGGUAAAUAUGCUGGAUGACACUCAUUGAUCUGGCUCAGGGCUCUAUUAUCUUCUUUUAGGUGCAGAACAAUAUCCCGCAUACCACUACUCUCACUACCAUCACCAGGCAAAAUCACAGCUAUUUCAUAUGUGGUUGGAAGAUUGUACCGAUGCCUAUCAGUUGAUGAGGUGUAAUGAAGGUGAGCAUGUAAAUCAUGAUCUGAAGAUUCUAACUCAGUUAGUAUUUCAUGGGCACGUUUGUACUUUGAAGCAAAAUGAUUGACUGGCAACAAACAAUUUUGUAUAGUAUGGAGGACAUCUCGACAUAAGUUAUUAUUCUGCGCACACCGAAUAUUUAAUGCAGUGGUUGGGUCAUAUAUGUACAACUGACAGUAGAUGGGUGCGCGACCAUCCGGGGGUAACAAUGACCCGGUACGAUGUCGUAAUUCUCCAUAGAUAGUGAAUGAUGUUGGCCCUCUUGAGUUGAGUAAUCUGUCAUCAAGCUUAACACCCAAGCUCGUGAAAGCAUUAGCUGCAUUGUACUCCCUAAUAUGCCGACGAAAUGAUUUUGCUUGACCAUCAUGGCUAUCGUAAAAUGCACGAAUAGGAGGUAGGGGUGCAAUGAGUUCCGGUAACUUAAUUUUGCCUUGUAGACAACAUGUUCCGAAUCUUGGAUUAGACAAUCCUGUGUGAGACAAUCGUUCAUCCCGCCAAUGUAAGGCUGAACAAUAAGGACACUGAAUAUUCAUAGGCCCGAGAAAAUGACACUCAUUAUUGACAGGGACAAUAAUAUUCAUUUCGUCAUCACUAAACAUACAGUCAACAUCGCUAAAGGGUUCUGGUGGGAAUCUACAAAUAAAAAAUAAUAUGUACACAAAUAUGAGAAGUAAGAAAAUAGUAGGCAACUAAUAAACUAUGUAGAAUAUACAUACAUUGUUAGAUCUGCCAGAACAGGAGACGACGUCAAGAGGACAUUGUCGUUAGUUUGAUGAGAAUGCGGUUCUACAUCGGGGACAACUUCAUAUUGAGCAAAGUCUAUCGUUAAAUUUCGAGGCGAGGAUAAAGGUCGCACCAGAACAGGUGAGAAUAGAGCAAAGUCAGUUGGAAUAAAAAUUGGGUCGGACGCAAUUGUAGGUGUUAGAUAGCAUUCCAAAUUAUUUGUCCGCGACCUUUUUUGUGGAAGGUGUGUGAUAGUGGCUCGGUGCAAUGGAGUUAGGUCUUGCAAAACAUGACAUAACGGUUGUGGGGGAGUGUAAAUCACCGGCAUUUUCCUAUGCAACUAUCCAACAGGGGAAAAAGACAAUAUAUUACAACUUAAUCAAAAAACUUACCAAAGAGGUAGACAUAUUUUCUUUUCCAUUUUUCCGACAAAUAGUGGGCGUGUGACAUACUUUCGACGUUGAAGGUGCAUUAUGAUUGCUAAUAAUUCGUGUUUCCCGCACAAGUACACAUUCAUUUUGGCGUUGCAGAUAGUUAGUAAAUGACAAUAGUAAAUGUACCUCGACCUUGCACAACUGAGUAGGUGAAUGCGAGGGGACUGCAGUAACCAUGUUAGGAAGUUGGACUUGGGUGGUGUCUUUGGGUAGAGGUUGAGUGUAAUUCCCAGAUUGCUCUCUUUCUCGACGUGCGCGCUAUGAUAGCUUACGUCUCGAGCACACACUACUAUCAAUGCAAUUUCGUUCACGUCUGGCGCGUUGGGCCUUAAUUUUAGAGGAAGCGAAAUUUGACGCGGGAGUCUAAAAUAGGAAGUGAUGUGUUGAAUAUGUUCAAUUUAUGAUAGGAACAAAAAAAUUAAGAAAAUUAAAUAAGAAUCUAUAAUAUGUAAGAAUGACUAAAGAAACCAUUACAUAAUUUGGACAAUAUGUUAGCAGGUCCAAAAUCAAAUUCAUGUAAGAAUAGAGUCGUGUGUGCGUGAGAGAGAUGUGUAUAUCACCGACAAUAUAGUGUAUAUCGCUCUAACCAAAAUAAGGCAUUAGGUUAUCAUGUCCAAAAAGCAUUAAUUUUUAAAAUCAAAUUCAUAAUAAUACCACAACACAACAAUUCAACUCGAUGAUGGUAUGGUUUCGUCUGUGCGUGAGAGAAAAGGCUAAGGGUGAGAGUGAGACUGAGGGGUAAGGAACUAAAAAAUAUCAACGAUAAUUUAGUGUAUAAUGCUCUAACCGAUUUUUAUCAACAGAUAAACAAUGAUUAGUACAACAUACCGGUUGAUUAAACCAAUUUUCUUUUCCAAUAGAACAACCAAUCUUUGUUUUCCCUUUCGUUGAAGAUGGAAUAAAACUUGAGUUGUUCAAGUGAUUCACAUGUGAAUUCUCCUAGGAAGUACAAAAUAAGACAUUAGUCAAAAAAUGCAAACUAAUAUCAAAAUGAAUUUUUUUAACAAUACCAGUAGCGUUACCUUAUCCAUAUGUAAUUGAUUAGACGCACAGGUAUGUUGUUACUAUCACUUAGAUCAACCUGUAAGAGCAAACUUAAUAAAUUAAACAUGAGUUAAACAUGAACAAAUGAAGAUGCAAAGACAGAGACAUUCAAUACUAUUGUUUUGAAGAUAGUUGAGGUUAUAAACUAUUGAAGACAUUGAAUAUUAAUUUACUACUGUUGGGUAUAAGGAUCCUUUGGCAAUAAGAAUAUGUAAACAGUCAUUUUCCAUUCUUUACUUCUUUCUUUUUCUUGUUUUUCACCCAAUUAAUGAAGCCUCUUUGUGUUCUUUCUUUCGAUUAUUUUGAACAAAAACUCCAUUAACAACCUAUAUCAAAAAUGUAGCACAUGAAAUAGGAGCAAUAUAAAGAAUAGGAGCAAUUUAAAAAUGUAGCACAUGAAUUUUUGAUAUUUUCACAUGGUCCCUGUCACAUGAAGGUGGAACCUACUUUCUUCUCAUGUGAGGGGAUUAUGUAGAAAUAUCAAGAACACAUGCAAAAAUAUCAGUAUUAUUAUAAUUUUGAUUGUAUUUGUAAAUAGUUAGUAUGUUAAGAAUAAUUCAAAGAAUAGGAUGACAUAGUGUUUCCUUCUAUUACAUGCUAGUAAUCUUAUUGUAUCACAUUCGCAAAGGAAAGGUAGCUUAAAAGAAAAAUGGGUUAGCAUUAUUAUCAAGUUUUGAAGCUAAUAGAUUGAUAUGAUCUUUUAAGUUUAUCCAUGGUAAAAAGUGCUUAAAGGUAACUUUUAAUCAACAUUAAUAUUCAUUAGUUAUUGUAAACAAAUAUAAUACAACACAAUACAAAACAGAUAGUGUAAUUUCAUAGCUUAAAGAUCAUUAGUUAUUGUAAACAAAUAAAAAUAAAAAUUUAAUUUCACAAAAAGUUCAAAUAAAGGUCUUCCAUCUUCAUUCCUAUCCCACAUCUUCUAGAUUUUCAAUUAAUAUUAACUCAAUAUUCAACCUUUCAUAAAAUUCAAAAAAUGCAAAGAAAUUAUCAAAUGUAAUUAAAACAAAAGUAACUUAAAGUGGAGUUCAGAAAUUAAAGCAAAUUAAGAGAUGCUAAUGUAUUUUUCAUAAUAUUAAGACCAAACAAAAUGGAAACUUCCUUUUUCUUUAUUAAUGUUGUGAGUGAUUACAUGCUGUCGAAUUAAUGAUCAUUUGGUUCAUCGAUAACUCAUUUUUAUUGGCAUAGAGGUCGAGAAUUAGAUUCUCGUUAAAAUUAUGUUACAAAGAAAAGUUCAACAAAUGCAUGUCCAGGAGGCAGUCGUGCACUUUAAAAAUUGAAAACAGUAACUUAGCGUGAAAGUUACUAACGAUAACCCGUAAGUGUUUAUAUACUAACGAUAACCCGUGCAUGAAGGCACUAUAUAAUCAGUGUUUGCCUAAGAAUAUGGACACACACUAAACUAAUUGCAGUUGGUCCAAUCAGUGUUUGCCUUAUUCUAGCAGCUCUUUAUCAUAUUGCUUCCUAUUAUGUUAGUUUUUACCUCGGUACCAAUAUCUCCAACGGAGGAAAGCCUUCUCCCUGAACCUCAAACACAAGAUUUGAGUAAAACUAAGCACAAUGUAAAUGAGAAAACCUCAUAAAUAGAUUCACUGACCUAACCAGUAUCCUUUAAUUCUUCAUGGCAUACACCAGUUCUCAUUUAAGGUAGCUUUCAAUGUAUCUAAACAAACAUGAGGGAGAUAGAAAAAAGAUAAAAAAUGCACAUGGUGAGUAAAGCUUAAUAGAGAAAUUCCACUAUGAUUCUCACAAAAAGAUCAAAAGCAGAAGCAGGAUAUUCCACUAUGGUGAGUAAAGCUUAAAUUUUUAGCUGUUUAUAAUCAUUUUUAUUUGGGCUUUCAUUCAUUUUCAUCCAAUAUGUCAUAUGAUAAAGUUCCUUUUACUCAUUUUCAUCCAAUGUGUUAAUUUCAAGUGGAGUUUCGGUGCAGCCAAAGCAGAAAACUGGGUUAGUACAAGGAGGGUCUCAAUUCCAUUAAUGGAAUUCUCCCGCACAGUCUUUACAGGGAAUGCAAGCAAUGGGAAUGAUAGGAUCUUUUAACUUAGGCUCACAAAUGUUAGAAGCAAUGGGAAUGAUGUGAUCUUUUAACUUAGGCUCACAAAUGUUAGGAAAUGGGUCACUCACGUAUGCACAACAGCGUAUGAAUCAAGGACAAAUGAGGCAGCAAGGCCUCAUUUUUGGUCAAACCAGACACUAUAAAGUGUAGCUUGUCACUUAUGAGGGCAUCCAAACAUUUAAGCAAAGUUACUCAGUGUUCAAUGGUGAAUGGUGAAUUUUCUAACCUGAGUAAUAUCGAGCUCAAUGGUGAAUUUCCUGUGCAAGAAUUUUGAGAUUGGGUUUAAUGGAUGAAGGCACUAUAUGUCCUGUGAAAAAUGGUGAAUUUCCUGUGCAAAAUAGAGUUACUCAAUGUUAAUUUUUUUUUAAAGUAAAAUAAAAUAGUCACACCCAAUCUCUCCUACCCCCACCCUCUCUAUUUUUUUUGUUUACCUAAAGUUUAGAGGGCAAAGUUUGGACUAUAGUUGACACUUUACAUUUCUUACAUUUGUUGUUUCAUCAUUAGUUGCUGCUGAAACUGUAAACAACCCAAAACAUUAGUUUCUCAACCCAAAACUGUAAACUGGUUAGCUUGAUGUAAUUUGGCACAUCGACGUGCAUCACAACUACUAAUAUUACUGCUACUGCUGCUACUAAUUUUUAUCUAAUAAACACAUCAAAACUACCAACACAUUGCAAGCAUGAAUUUUGUAGCUUACAUUUAAGCUAGUGUUAUAAUUACCAAUAGAAAAGACCAUAACAAUAGCUAAAUAGUUCAUUAAAACGUAAUCAAAUAGCAUUCUGGAAAUAUUUCAAUGG
This 10418-nucleotide long non-coding RNA is filed under the name Panax ginseng (ginseng). RNAcentral's name for it is "long non-coding RNA (PGIN_LNC004439)". The record is from RNAcentral. Lineage: Eukaryota; Viridiplantae; Streptophyta; Magnoliopsida; Apiales; Araliaceae.